UGAAAGCACAUUUUCAAAAGCAUAUGUGGGUUUGUGUCUCAGAGAACUUCAGUGUUCCUGAUAUUGUCAAGGGGAUAAUUGACACUGCAAUUGGGAAUGAUUGUGGACUGAAGAGUGAUAACCUGGAAUUGCUACAACAACGUCUCCGGGAAGAACUGAGCCAAAAGAGGUACCUCCUUGUACUAGAUGAUGUUUGGAAUGAAGAUGAACAAAAAUGGGAGGCUCUAAGAACAUUGCUUUGUUCCUGUAAAAUGGGAAGUGCGGUGGUUGUCACUACCCGAAAUUCGAAUGUUGCGUCAGUCAUGGGGACAGUUCCUCCAUUGGCUCUAGAACAACUUAGCCAAGAAGAUUCCUGGACUCUAUUCUGUGAAAGAGCGUUCCGUACAGGUGUGGCCAAGUCUUGUGAGUUUGUCGAGAUUGGUACAAAAAUUGUUCAAAAAUGUUCUGGAGUCCCAUUAGCAAUAAAUAGUAUGGGAGGCCUGCUGAGUAGAAAACAUAGUGUAAGGGAUUGGCUGGCGAUCCUUCAAAACAAUACUUGGGAGGAAAAUAACAUACUGACAGUCCUAUCAUUGAGCUACAAACAUCUACCUUCUUUUAUGAAACAGUGCUUUGCUUUUUGUGCUGUAUUCCCAAAGGACUACGAGAUUGAUAAGGAUGAUCUAAUACAUCUGUGGAUAUCAAAUGGAUUCAUUCCAUCUAAAGAGACCUCGGACAUAGAAGAAACUGGGAACAAGGUUUUUCUGGAGCUUCUUUGGAGAUCAUUUUUCCAAAAUGCGAAGCAAACUCGGUCCCGCAAGGAAGAGUACAUAUAUGGGUACAAAGAUGUAACUACAUGCAAAAUUCAUGAUCUUAUGCAUGAUCUUGCAGUUUCUAUAAGCGGGGAUGAGUGCUAUACUUUGCAAAAUCUUGUUGAAAUAAAUAAAAUGCCGAAGAAUGUCCAUCAUCUAGUUUUCCCACAUCCACACAAGAUUGGUUUCGUGAUGCAGCGUUGUCCAAUUAUCCGAAGUCUAUUUAGUUUACAUAAGAAUCAUAUGAAUUCUAUGAAGGACGUCAGAUUCAUGGUGUCCCCUUGUAGAGCGCUUGGGCUUCAUAUCUGUGACAAUGAAAGAUUCUCAGUUGAACCAGCAUAUAUGAAGCACUUGCGGUAUCUUGAUUUAUCCUCUAGCGACAUAAAAACACUCCCUGAAGCGGUCAGUGCACUGUACAAUUUACAAAUACUAAUGCUCAAUAGAUGCAGGGGCCUGACUCACCUGCCUGACGGCAUGAAAUUUAUGAUCAGCCUUCGCCAUGUGUACCUUGAUGGUUGUUCUAGUCUACAAAGGAUGCCGCCGGGUCUAGGGCAGCUCAGCAGUUUACGAACAUUGACAAUGUAUAUGGUUGGCAAUGAAUCUGAUUGUAGACUUCAUGAACUCAAGGACUUAGAACUUGGGGGCAAGCUACAAAUACAUAAUUUGCUGAAGGUAACAAAUCCGUUACAAGCAAAAGAAGCCAACCUUGAGAAUAAGAAAAAUCUGCAGCAACUAGCACUUUGUUGGGACUCACGAAAUUUCACCUGUUCACAUUGUCAUUCUGCAGAUGAAUAUUUGCAAUUAUGCCGUCCUGAAGAAGUGCUGGAUGCUCUUAAGCCUCCCAACGGAUUAAAAGUUCUAAAGCUAAGGCAAUAUAUGGGCUCCAACUUUCCAAUGUGGAUGGAAGAUGGUGUGACACUGCAAAAUAUUGUUAAACUCAGUUUGAGAGGCUCUGUAAUGUGUGUCAAACUCCCACCAGUGUGGCAGCUUCCCUUUCUUGAAGUUCUCCGUCUCAAACGAAUGGAGAGGUUGAAAUACUUGUGUUACAGGUACCCCACUGAUGAAGAAUAUGGCAACCAAUUAGUGGUAUUUCAAAAAUUAAAAUUAUUGUCACUAGAAUGGAUGGAAUCCUUAGAGAACUGGCAUGAAUAUGACACUCAACAAGUGACAUCAGUUACUUUUCCAAAGCUGGACGCCAUGGAAAUUAUAGACUGCCCAAAACUGACAGCACUGCCUAAUGUUCCGAUUCUUAAGUCUUUAAGUUUGACAGGAAACAAAGUACUGCUGGGGUUAGUGUCAGGUAUUAGUAAUCUAUCAUAUCUGUAUCUCGGUGCAAGUCAAGGGAGUUCACGGAGGGUAAGAACACUAUACUAUAUCUAUAAUGGAGAACGUGAAGGAAGCACUGAUACAAAGGAUGAGCAUAUUUUGCCCGAUCACUUGUUGUCAUGGGGUUCACUCACUAAACUACACCUACAAGGAUUCAAUACACCAGCACCAGAAAAUGUGAAGAGUAUAAGUGGUCACAUGAUGUCUGUGCAAGACUUAGUCCUGUCUUCUUGUGAUUGCUUCAUCCAACAUGAAGGAUUACAGUCACCACUAUGGUUCUGGAUAUCAUUUGGAUGCCUACAACAAUUAGAAAUCUGGUACUGUGAUAGCCUCACCUUUUGGCCAGAGGAGGAGUUCCGAAGCUUGACUUCUUUAGAAAAACUCUUCAUUGUAGAUUGCAAAAACUUCACGGGUGUACCACCUGACCGACUGUCAGCAAGGCCCUCUACAGAUGGAGGCCCAUGUAAUUUGGAAUACUUACAGAUUGAUCGCUGCCCCAACUUAGUGGUAUUCCCUACAAACUUCAUCUGCCUACGGAUCCUUGUGAUAACUGACAGUAAUGUACUUGAGGGCCUGCCUGGAGGAUUUGGUUGCCAGGGCACUCUAACAACUCUCGUAAUUUUGGGUUGCCCAAGUUUUAGCUCCCUGCCUGCCAGCAUUCGGUGUCUUUCAAAUCUGAAAAGCCUAGAACUGACAAGUAAUAACAGCUUAACCUCCUUGCCUGAAGGGAUGCAGAAUCUAACUGCUCUCAAAACACUACAUUUUAUUAAAUGUCCUGGUAUAACCGCUUUACCAGAAGGUCUCCAGCAAAGACUGCAUGGCCUCCAAACGUUCACCGUUGAAGAUUGCCCUGCUCUGGCGAGGAGAUGCAGACGUGGGGGAGAUUAUUGGGAGAAAGUCAAGGACAUUCCUGAUUUACGAGUGACAAGUGAGCCGCGCCCUGUCUGGCAAGAUGCAGCCAGAACCAUCAUUCCCAAAUGCAUGAACGCUUGGCAAAGAAGAGCAUCAAGUUCUGGGCAGCCAGACAAUUAAUUUAUACUACAAAGGUGCACACUGUUGUCCCUCGUUCUCUCUUUCUUACCCUUGCCUUGCUCUGUUCGAUUAAGCAAGUUUGAGUCUUACUUACCUGGGAGCUACGAAACCAUUUGUUGCUGCUUUUAUCAAGUCAGACAUUGUUUAAUCGAAUGAAUUGCAUCACUCUGUUUGGAGGAACUUUGGCAUCAUUCCUCUCAUGUUCAGAAAUUUUGCAGGUAUCUACGCUGAAACAUUGUUGGCAACAGGCUCCUUCAUGCAGAAUGUGUCUUAAAGUGAAUGAAAUGCAUUGCAUUUCUCUGCUCGCAACGUAUAUAUGAACCUGCUGGGAUCAAGGCCUCUUUGUAACAGUGUACAAACUGUGAUAUACUGAUAUUGAUUGGAGUUCCACUGCUCAACACUGAUUGUGUUAUUUCGAGGAAUUCCCUCUUUCUAAAUAUACUGUGAUAUACCGAUAUUGAUCGGAGUUGCUAAAUACUCCCUCCAUAUUUUAAUGUAUGACGCCGUUGACUUUUUGACAAACGUUUAGCCUUUCGUCUUAUUCAAAAAAUUUAUGUAAUUAUAAUUUAUUUUAUUGUGACUUGAGUUAUCAUCAAAUGUUCUUUAAGCAUGACAUAAGUAUUUUUAUAUUUGCAUAAAAUUUUUGAAUAAGACGAGUGGUCAAACGUUGGUUAAAAAGUCAACGGCGUCAUACAUUAAAAUAUGGAGGGAGUAUAUUUCUACCUCUGACCCAAAGGAUAUGGGGUUCUGUGUAGCAUCUGAUAAACAAUAGGUGGUGCAUACUUCUUUCCACCAAGUGAACCAAACAAAGGUGUGCUCCCUGAUACAUUUUUUUAUAAUUUCCCCCAAUAUAUUUCCCUAGAGUUAUCGUAAUUUUGUUUAUAUGCAUCCAUUUUCAGCAUAUUCAGGUAUGCCAGUGUUUGUGGAUUCAUCCUGCUUCUGAAUCUUGUGCUGUUUCUUAGAUCUGGAGACCUGGAGUUCUGAAGACUUACCAUGAAUCUUUCGCUGGGGACCUGGAGCUGGAGCCGUGCAAGGCCGAGUUCGUGAGGGGGCUACGCUAUGAUUCGCUGCUUCUCGCAGGCCAUGACCGACGCCGUGGUGCGCAACGCCCACGUGAAUGCUACGGCCGGGGUCUUUACUAUAGUGGAAUUUUACAGUUCUUGAGAAAGUACCUUGAGGUACCUAAAUUUUACACUAAAAUUUUUGGUGCCUUGAGGUACUUAGUACCUAGAGAUAUCAAAUUUUACACUAGAAAUAUGGUACAUCUAGGUAUCUUAUGAAGGAUAGUAAAAUUACCCAUAAUACCAUGUAAGCCAUCCGAGGGCGAGGACGAUGCAGACAGCGUGGGAGAUGAGGCUAAGCUGCUAGAGAAAUCAUGGCGCAUGCAGAAGGGGCUUCAUGUGGGCAUGCUGCAGGGUCACUAGCCUCAGUGAGGGAUUUAGUCCUUUUCUUGGUGUGCGGUGAUAGUAUUAAGUAUUCAAUCUUUAACUUGUUUUGUUCAAUCAGGGCAUGAUUCUCCAUGGUUUAGAUUGAAGGGGAUGGAGUAUGGCGUCGGAUUUUAGAGAUUGAUCGCCUGAUGCACUACUGCACGAGCAGUGGUGAGAAUUUAUUUGUUGCUGUACUCCCUUUCUUAUUGUGUUGUGUGUGGACUAACGAUCCACAAUCUCCGCCUGGUUUCCCCCAAUUAGGGCAUGGUUUUACACGAGCUACUUUGUUUUAUUUGAACGGGAACCAAUAUUGUUUGAAUAUGCUUUAUUUUAAAGAGAGAAGAAUGUGCGUUACAGAUCAUUGAAUCACAAUAUAUUUCUUACGAAUAAUCAAUAAUAUUGGUAUAAAUUUCCCAGCGUUUGAUAAUAAUUUGAUUGCAGUUGGCCUGGGCAUAGCUAGACGUGAAGCAGCAUUACGGCUGCGAUUCCGGAGAACAUGCCCUCACGGAAAAAACAUGGAAAGGCACAGGAAUGUUGGCUGGGGCUGUUUGCCAUGCUCACGUAAGUUAUUCACUGAGUUCUUUUCUUUCAUGCAUUUUUCAAACAAAAUUAAUGAGUUUAGCCAAAAAAUUAAGUACCUUUUUUUCUAUCCAAUCUGUUUGAUUGAUGUUGCCCUUCCUAUUCGGAUAGCCACUGAUGCAAAUAUUAUUUUUCUCUCUUGGUGUAGUGUUCAAUGUACAAUAACCCACGAAACAUAGAUGAUAAACAACAUUAAAUGAAUUAGGGUGUUGUUGGAGAAAUAAUACUGAUAUAUGUAGCUAUUCUGUGGCUGUGUACAUCCACUUGGAUGUAGAGGCCAGGUUAUUUAAUCCAUUAUCUAAGAAAAAUGUAGCUAUACAUUUUAUCAGCAGCAAAUGAUUCAAUUUAAUUUAUAUAUUUCCCUCUCUUAUUUUGACUCAGUAUCUCCAAGUAGACCUCAUUUUCAUGGUAGGAAACCUUGCCAUUGGUGAGCUGAUUUGGAAGGCAACAGCUCCAGCUAGAGUAAAGUUCGUGUGGUUGGCUGUUAAAGGCCGGUGCUUAACGGCAGACAUUCUGCUGAAGAGAGGGAUGGCCUCAUGAACCAGUCUACUCACUGUGUCAGUCUGAUUUUGAUGAUUGCAAUCAUCUCUUCACUGCGUGCGCCUACACAAACAGAGUAUGGACCUUACUGCAGGACUGGAUUAAUGUGGAUUUCCACCCGCCCAAGUCACCAUGGUCUUCCACUGGCCGAAUGGUGGCAACAAGCGCGACGUUUGUUUUUCGGGUGAGCUACGGGUAUGCGUUUGAUUCGAGGAUGAAGAUGGAAGAGCAUAUAGUCCUUUAUGACAACGACCCUAAGUAGAGUUCUUCUCAUGGCCAAAUCCUUUAUAAAGAAAAAUUUACGAUAUACUAAUUCUAUGACUAUGUAGGCAAGAUAUCACAAGUAAGUCUAUGAGAUGAAACAAGAUUUUUCUUGGCCUUAGGAACAUAAAGAACACUUUUUCACUGUAAAUCUCAACUAGGGAUCUGAACAACAGAAUUACCAUGUGACUAAUCUCCAUACAUGCACCACUCGCUAUAUGAAUUUGAUCAUUGCCAUGAUAUUUGCCACGAACUAUUAGCUUCUCAAGCUCUCCGGUGACAUGAUUUGUAGCGCCGGUGUCAAGAUACCAAUUGAAAUCAAUGCCGUAGAAUGCAGCAGAACCUGCAAACCUUUCAUCUAUGGAACAUAGUCUUCAUCGAAACGGUACUAGCAAUCUUUUACCGUGUGUCCCCUUUUGUAGCAAAGUUGACACUUGGGCCUGUUGUCGACACCUCCUAUGUUUCUUCGACCACCGCUAGGGCUGCCUCUUCCUCGACUUCAGUUUCCACCAUUGUUUGGAGCACCUUGUCAUUGAUGGGUAAGUCUGAUGCGCGAGUGUUCGCGGUGACCGGGGCGAGCGAACUAGAAAAACCAUCGUGCACUUUGAUGAAAAGCCUGAUUGCCUUCCUGUUUUCUUUGUUGAUGUAGGCCAGCCCACGAUCUUUUUUUUAGACUGGUCACCGGGGGGCGAAAUGCCCACAUGAAUAUAUAACUUCCAACGAUCUUAUACAGGGCAGGUUUCACCUGCAUAAAUGUGGGCGCUGCCGCCGGCACUGCCAUCGGGGGCAGCAUCGCCGGCGGCGGCGAGGCUGCGCGCGCGUAGGAGGAGCGGGGCCUCGGCGACGGUCGCCUCCCGGGUCGCCCUGCAGAGAGCGACACGGGAGUCUCUCUCUCCACCAGGCCAGCCCACGAUCAUUUCCCCUAUUCAUGUUACUUGCAAGUCCAAGUCACAUGAAGUUUUUUUUUUCUUCGAAGGCCCAGUGUAACGAUUUUUAGCAUAAAGAGUUAUCCGUUUCUAUUUUCCCUUUAAAUUUCUGAGAAGUGGUGGGUAGGGGUGAGAAAAUAUUAUACAUAGAAACUUUAUACGAAUACAACUUUAUACAUAGAAAGCCUACGCAUAGAAAACUUUAUACGUAGAAACAUUCAAUGUAUAUACACAUGGACUUUACACACAUAAAAAUUAUAUAUAGAUAUUUUAUACACAUAAACUUUAUACAUAUAUACUUUAUACAGAUAAAAUCUAUGCAUAGAAACUAAAAUUCAUUAGGUAAUAGAAAGUUUUUACAAAUGAGUUUUAAAACAAAUUUGCAUUCCACAUAAGCACAAAAUAUUCGGAUGGGCCAUGAGCCCGUGAGGCCCAUGUAGUUGGAUCAGCGUGCCGCAACAAAUUUCCGAGUCACGUGUCCGAAGCUCCCAGCCACGUGUUUUCCCAUUCGCGGGAUGAGCAACACGCGAACGUUCACGUAUUAACGUUCUCGGUCAUUGAUUGUUGCCGCCGCCACCUCUGACGCCUUGUUGCUGACCCUGGACACAGCUUGCGCUAUUAGCCGAGGCCAGGAUUCUCCAUUCUCCACUCUGGCAAAGUGCUAGCCUCUGCUUGAAGCUUUACUCCCUCCGUUUCACAAUGUAAAACUUUCUAACGUUGUUCAUAUUCAUAUAGAUGCUAAUGAAUUUAGGCAUAUAUACGUGUAUAGAUUCAUUUAUAUAUAUAUAUAUAUAUAUGAAUGUGGGCAAUGCUAGAAAAUCUGACGAUAUGAAACGGAGGGAGUAUCAACUAAGCAAAGGCCUCACUGACGGUCACCUGAUCUGGUCGCCCAACAAUGGACGAGAUUACCGGCACAUAUUCUUCAUCAAGACCAGCAAUGAUAUAGCUGAUCAGAUCAUCAUCAUCAAUGGGUUUGCCGAUGAUUGCAAGUUCAUUAGCCAAAGGCCGCACCUUCCCAACAAACGUCGUGAUGUUCAUGUCGCCCUUCUGCAGCGUGGUGAGGGAGAGUCGCGUGUUGAUUGUUCGUGCCCGAGUCAUGGACCCGAACAUCUCUUGGAUCAUACUCCAUGCCGAGGCUGUUGUGCUACAUGUUGCCACUUGAACAAGUAGAUCUUUAGUCAUGGAGGAAAGCAAAUAUGAAAGCACCUGUUGAUUUGUCGAAAUCCAUUCAUCACAAUCUGGUUUGUUGAUGAUAAUUUCCUUUUCGCCCUCCUUUUCUCGAAGAAUGACAACUGGAGCUUGAUCUGCUCCUAUGAGAACCUUCCAACCGAGCACCCCGAACAAUCACAAGAAUACGCGCCUUCCAUAUGGCAUGAUCCGAGUUUGCAAUUUCGGUUGCACCGGAAUUUCGAUGGUUGCCAAAAAAUUGAAAAUUUCGUGAUUUCCGGGUUUUUCUGACCAAAAUUAUUUGAAUUUUUAACAUAUUGUGACUGAAUUUGAACAAAUUUUGACCAAAUUUACAAAUAUUUGACAAGAAACCAAAAAUUCCGGGGAGAUUUGUGCUUGCCGGUGGAAGCCGAAAUUUCGAACCAAAAUUUCAAACCAUGGGCGUGAUUCGAUUUUCCUAGCUUUUCCGAAAAGAAAGCAGUGAUUGCUGGCAUGAUUCUUCGAGAAACUUCGGGAAAAUGCUUGUAAUCGGCCGUUCGACUGACACGGAAAAAUUGGAUACCACAUCGAUGCCUUCCACACUGUCUACAUGCUAACUCUAGAAAGAUUCGAAUCCGUCAACUGAUAUGGCAAGUUUCACGGGUGCUUCUAUCUGUAAUCAACUAACUGCUAACUCAAUUAUCGUAGCUAUUCAUUCCAACCAUGCAUAUGCAUGUGUCAAUCUUUAAAAUAUUUUUUCUCCUAAACUACUUAUCAAUCUAAAAUCCGAUUACACCAUUGUAUUUAUUGGAAUUAAAUCGUUAUAACAAGAUAUCACAUGUUUAUAUUCCGAUUAAAGAAAAAUAUAAGUUUCAAACUAUUAAUACUUCAUGUUUCAUACGCUAUGUCGAUAUGUUUCAGCGCCUGUUUUUACUGUGUUUCACAAAAUUCUCGAAAAUAAUUGCCACUACCCUCCAUCAAUGCUUGCAUGCAUGCAUUUUAGCGGUCUUUAAAAUGAUUUUUCUUCUAAACUACUUAUCCAAUCUAUGAUUCGAUCAUACCGUUGUAUUCGUUGUAAUUACAUCUUUACAACAAGAUAUCACACGAUUAUAUUUUGAUGAAAGAAAAAUAUAUGUUUAAAUCUAUUAACUCUCGUUGUUUCAUAAGUGAUAGCAACAUGUUUCAACGUGUAUCUUCACUGUGUUUCAUAAAAUUUUUAAUGUUUCAAUUGCUGUUUUUUUUUGUUUCACCAUAUAUAAAUUAAUGUUUCACAUGUUGAUCAGCUGCAACAUUUUGACCGUUCGAUAUUUUUUGAGAUAUCGGAUGUCCGAUUGGUAGUAUUCUCCCAAACUUUGCCAUGGCUUUGCUUGGUGAUGGAGGUAGAUCGGUUUGCUCUGAUACCAUAUCAGGGAAUAAUAGGGGGAAGCGCUGAACCCUGAUAGGGGCCGCACCUUUGUUGAUAUAGGCAGGAAAAGCCUUUGCCGUGGCGCAUUACAGAGGGAACGGAUCACUCUCAACAACCUGAGAUCAAUCCGUAUUAUAGAUAUAAGAUCAAAUGGUUAAAUGUGAUAAUAUAAACCUUAUCUCCAAUAACUAACUUAUCUAACACGGACUGCGCGUGCUCAAUAUUGUCUCCGCUUUGGUUGCCUCCACCCAAUCCCCCUCACACUCUGCCGGCGGCCAAAACCCGGUGUUGGCCGGUGUGGCGGAAGCUGCUCUCCCAUAAGACAGCCGGAUGCGGGCGCAAGAAACUUCACGGAGCAGAGGAAUUUGUCUCGAUCCGGCACAGCUAUACAGUCGAAGAGAUAUCGGGCUUGUUUCGUUUGAUGCCAAUUUUUAUCCUACUAAAAUUUUGGUAACUUAAACAGCGACACAUGCAUGUUUGGUUUGAUACCAAAUUUUGGCUACUAUAGUUCAAAUUCAAUGCUAGAAAAUUUGGUAGUGCCAAAACUUUCCACCAAGAUUUUGGUAGAGUAAAAAUUGACUUUAAAUCAAAUAAGCCCGUCUUCAGCAGCAGCCAUCGGAAGGCACGGCUAGCUCCACCUCCGAAGGUAAGCUCGUAGAUUCCCAGCCCGUGAACAGAAAUAGCCACUAAUAAUUUUGAUAGGCACUAAAAUAAGCAAAUAAUAGAAGCUUAGUUGGUGUUCUGAAUUAUAGCCACCUGCGGCGAUACAAAGAUAAAUUCAAAGUCUUGGACGAUUUAUAUAAUGCACGACAUGACAGCCUAGUAGGGCAUUAUAAUGCACAAAUUGGCACUCUUGCAUAUAUUUUUUUUCCAUUUUUUCUAUGGACGUCCUUAGGAGAGGAAACUUGCUGGAAUUGUUUGUUUAGGUGAAACCAUACAUGCUGCUGUUGGUUUGGUUUAAUUCGGUUGCUGCAGUGGGCGGAUGUUUAUCUUCUCCUUCUGAUCUGGUGCUAGGCUGAUGCCUGCUGUGAUACCUCAGCUGACAUAUGGGGCUUACACUGAGCAUCUUUAGCAACUUGCCAGCUUACACUGAGCAGUUGACCACUUGUUGUUUGAUUGUAUGAUGUGAUUAUUUGAAAUUUGAAGCGCGUCAACUAACAUGAUGUAUCUAAUGCACCCAUUGUCUUAAACAACCCACCCACUUUUUUCUAAUGGAACAAACAGCUCACUUGCUUCUUCUCAUUCCAUUAUCAGUCUCCUUCAACUCCAACUCAUCUUUGUGCCUUGGAUGGUUUUUUCCAAAGACUUAACUCAACCAGCUACACCAUACGCUCAUUCCUCAACCCACCAUUAAUUGUCCUCCAAUCCUUUCUGUUCUGCCAAUACUCCAUUGAUCUCUGAGCUUUGAGCCAUGGCGGAGUUACUAUCGGCUCUUUUGCCUGCCCUCCUGAAGAAAGCAGGUGAGUCUCUCGGCACAGAGUUUAGUUUCAUCGGGGGUAUUGAACGACGGCGUUCGGAGCUGUAUACCUUGCUGCUUGCCGUCAACCAAGUGAUCAAUGAUGCCGAGGAUCAGGCAUCCAAGAAGCCUGCUGUGAAGUCUUGGAUCGCAAAGCUGAAGCUGGCUGCCUGUGAUGCUGAUGACGCCCUUGAUGAGCUGCACUACGAGGAGCUCCGCUGCGAAGCGCUCCGUCGUGGGCAUAAAAUCAAUACUGGCGUAAGGGCUUUCUUCUCUUCUCAUUAUAAUCCUUUACUGUUCAAGUAUAGGAUAGGAAAGAGACUCCAGCAGAUAGUCGAGCGGAUUGAUCAGCUUGUUUCGCAAAUGAAUCGAUUUGGGUUCCUAAAUUGCUCCAUGCCAGUGGAUGAGAGGAUGCAAACCUAUUCCUACGUCGACGAGCAGGAAGUUAUUGGAAGGGACAAAGAAAGAGAUGAAAUUGUCCAUAUGCUUCUAAGUGCCGAGACCGACGAAUUGCUAAUACUUCCUAUUGUUGGGAUAGGAGGACUGGGAAAGACAACUCUUGCACAGCUGGUCUUCAAUGACGUAAAAGUGAAAGCACAUUUUCAAAAGCAUAUGUGGGUUUGUGUGUCAGAGAACUUCAGUGUUCCUGUUAUUGUCAAGGGGAUAAUUGACACCGCAAUUGGGAAUGAUUGUGGACUGAAGUUUGAUAACCUGGAAUUGCUACAGCAACGUCUUCGGGAAGAACUGGGCCAAAAGAGGUACCUUCUUGUACUAGAUGAUGUUUGGAAUGAAGAUAAACAGAAAUGGGGAGCUCUUAGAACAUUGCUUGGUUCUUGUGGAAUGGGAAGUGCGGUG
RNAcentral lists this long non-coding RNA (11741 nucleotides) under Oryza sativa (Asian cultivated rice). RNAcentral's name for it is "long non-coding RNA (OSAT_LNC000992)". The record is from RNAcentral. Lineage: Eukaryota; Viridiplantae; Streptophyta; Magnoliopsida; Poales; Poaceae.